RNAcentral lists this long non-coding RNA (447 nucleotides) under Canis lupus familiaris (dog). RNAcentral describes it as "lncRNA (ENSCAFG00000051912.1)". The record is from RNAcentral. Lineage: Eukaryota; Metazoa; Chordata; Mammalia; Carnivora; Canidae.
UGUGUACUUUGAAAUAAGUCUCAAGAUGAAUCUCAUGUGCACCGAAGUUUGAGGAUUAUUGUUUUAUCCCUUUUCUCCUUAGCUCGGACCCCUCUUGGUAAUAGAACAACGCUAUAAGCACAGUCUCAGAUUUGUGUGAUGUUUUCUAAUUCACAAGGCUUUUUUCACACAUUGGUCUAAUUUAAUACUAACGUGAUGGGGCUGAUUUAACAACAGCCCUCUGAUUUGGAUCCCUUUCCCAUUCACUUUUCAGAUGAGGAGACAGGAAUGAGAGUCUUUGGAUCACAUGACAAGUUCCCGGCAAAGCCUGUGUUCAUCCCAAGUUUUGUGAUUCCAGAGCUGGAAGCGAAGGACUCCAAGAUGGAAAAAAACACACAAUGGAAGGAGUCCAACCUACACCAGAUGUUCGUGACAGUGGGUAUGAAUAUUGUUCUCAAAGUGCUGUAA